GGCUGUGGCAUCUUUUUUCUAUGAUGGAACAUCUAAAGUAGGUCAGCUGAACACUUCUGAAGGAAAAUCAGUGUGAAGCACAGCGUGCUCGCUAUCAGAAACUGUUGGGCGAUUUCCAUAUAUGCUGUGUGCUGGCGUGGCCCUGCUGCAUGCGCCGCUCGCUGUGAAUACUGAUUUGGAAUCCUACAUCAGCUGAAGUGCGAAUUCACCGAUUCUCUGGAAUCUGAUAGUGGGAGGAGAAUUAAAUGAAACUGUGUAACCUCUAAACGACCCCUGAGGUUUGAGAAGUCUCAAGGCGAGAGCGAAUGAGAAAGAGGAAACAUUGAAAGUGGGAGUGUCUUGUUUAACUGAAAGUGAGAAUGAUGGUAUUAAAAGGAAGUAGAACAAUUGUAGCCAUGGAGACCAGCUCGAAGGAUGGGGUGCUAUUGUUUGAAAGAAGGACAUGGAGGGAACAAAAGAUCAAACCCGUUGUAGCGAUUGGAUUGACUCAAUGGAUUG
Sinocyclocheilus anshuiensis is the source of this 498-nucleotide long non-coding RNA. RefSeq lists it as uncharacterized. The transcript has 4 exons. Lineage: Eukaryota; Metazoa; Chordata; Actinopteri; Cypriniformes; Cyprinidae. The record is from RefSeq and is a predicted model, not a curated record.